RNAcentral lists this transfer RNA (81 nucleotides) under Thermoflexales bacterium. RNAcentral's name for it is "tRNA-Ala". The record is from RNAcentral. Lineage: Bacteria; Bacillati; Chloroflexota; Thermoflexia; Thermoflexales.
AUUGGAAUGAACGGCAGGUGGCGUUGGAGCCCUGGCAUGCCUCCAGCAACUUCCGCUUGCGGUUCCGACUGAGUUCCGAUG